Molecule: ribosomal RNA, 258 nt
Filed under: uncultured bacterium
Lineage: Bacteria
Description: partial 16S ribosomal RNA
Rfam family: Bacterial small subunit ribosomal RNA
Source: RNAcentral
CCACGCCGUAAACGAUGGGUGCUAGGUGUGGGGGGUGUCGACUCCCUCCGUGCCGAAGCUAACGCAUUAAGCACCCCGCCUGGGGAGUACGGCCGCAAGGCUAAAACUCAAAGGAAUUGACGGGGGCCCGCACAAGCAGCGGAGCAUGUGGUUUAAUUCGACGCGACGCGAAGAACCUUACCAGGGCUUGACAUGCACUGGAAUGUCGUAGAAAUACGGCAGCCCUUCGGGGCCAGUGCACAGGUGGUGCAUGGCUGU